RNAcentral lists this ribosomal RNA (468 nucleotides) under uncultured bacterium. Its description in RNAcentral is "partial 16S ribosomal RNA". It matches the Rfam family "Bacterial small subunit ribosomal RNA", at positions 28 to 507 of the family's 1533-position model. The record is from RNAcentral.
GACGAACGCUGGCGGCGUGCUUAACACAUGCAAGUCGAACGGAAAGGCCCUGCUUUUGUGGGGUGCUCGAGUGGCGAACGGGUGAGUAACACGUGAGUAACCUGCCCUUGACUUUGGGAUAACUUCAGGAAACUGGGGCUAAUACCGGAUAGGAGCUCCUGCUGCAUGGGGGGGGUUGGAAAGUUUCGGCGGUUGGGGAUGGACUCGCGGCUUAUCAGCUUGUUGGUGGGGUAGUGGCUUACCAAGGCUUUGACGGGUAGCCGGCCUGAGAGGGUGACCGGCCACAUUGGGACUGCGAUACGGCCCAGACUCCUACGGGAGGCAGCAGUGGGGAAUAUUGCACAAUGGGCGGAAGCCUGAUGCAGCAACGCCGCGUGCGGGAUGACGGCCUUCGGGUUGUAAACCGCUUUCGCCUGUGACGAAGCGUGAGUGACGGUAAUGGGUAAAGAAGCACCGGCUAACUACGUG